RNAcentral lists this ribosomal RNA (118 nucleotides) under Macrostomum lignano. Lineage: Eukaryota; Metazoa; Platyhelminthes; Macrostomidae. The record is from RNAcentral.
GGCAACGGCCAUACCACGUUGAAAACACCGGUUCUCGUCUGAUCACCGAAGUUAAGCAACGUUGGGUUUGUUAGUACUUGGAUGGGUGACCGCCUGGGAAUACCAAAUGCUGUUGUCU